Long non-coding RNA from Marmota monax (woodchuck), 1302 nucleotides. RefSeq lists it as uncharacterized. Lineage: Eukaryota; Metazoa; Chordata; Mammalia; Rodentia; Sciuridae. The record is from RefSeq and is a predicted model, not a curated record. The transcript is spliced from 3 exons.
CUUCUGAAGUAAGUAAAAUAUUCAGAUGUCCAGACUCAUGUUGGAAUUUUAAAAGCAAAAUGUCAAGGUGAACCCUGAAUCUGGGAGAUUUUGUCAUCAGUUUCCCAUGUGAUUCCUAUGCACAGCCAGUGGGGAGCCCCCGACCCCACUCAGCAUAACAGUAAGAACAACUGUAACCUCUCCACAGGAAGAAGGCUUUUGCCCUUGUUCAAACAAUGGAGCAGCUCUGUGUGUCCUGCUGGGGCAUCUCCCUGUGGAAGGAGACCAUGGCCGACAUUCAGGAGAGGUUCUCCAGUCACUGUGGGCUUCAGGGUGUGCAUCUUCCCUGUUCCACAGAGAGUCCAGCUUAUGAUGGGGUUUCCUCAGCCUGGAGUGAUCAUGGUGCAUACAGCAAUGAACGUGCAGCUCAAGACCCUAGUGACCUAUUGGGCCCCACCUGAAAAGAGACCAGCACUGUGAAGCAGCUGUCUCCAACAUGCUCCUGGAAAAUUGGGAUGAAGUGGAAGGAAAAUCUAGAAUAUGAUCAGCAAAUUGAGAACAUCAAUAAAGAAAGAGGAUGUAUUAAAAUAUUCAAGCAGAAAUUUGAGUAUUGAUAAGCUUAAUUAACUCAGAAGUUCACUGGAGAUCCCACAACAGGUUUGAACAGGCAGUUGAAAAAAAUCACAAAAUGUGGAGCAGGAUCCAUUGACAUUGCUGAGUCUGAAAUUCAGAAAAACAAAACAAAACCAAAAAACCCAAAAAACAAAUAACAAAAAACUUGGAAUCUUAAAAAGAACCUAGAGUCUAUUCAGAAUAUCAAAAAAGCAUCGACAAACAUAUGAGACUCCCAGAGAUACAAGAAAGAAAAAUGUUAAAAGGUUUAUUUCAAAGAGAAAUAUUGCCUACAAUCUUAAAUAUGAUCAAGUAUAUGAAUGUUCUAAUCCCAGAUACUGAACAAACUUCAGGAACCAUCAACGUGAGCCGACCCACACUGAGGCGCAUUGGACACCAAUCUGCUAAAAUUAAAAUAAAGCCGAAUAUACUGAAGCAGAAAGAGAGGAAUGAUCACCAGAUACUGGAGAGCUUCCUGAGGUUUGUAUCAAGUUCUUGAUGAUGGGAGUCAGAGGCAGUAAGAUGACUGAUCUAAAGUGUUGAAUAAAAAUAUAUCUAGAAUUCUAUACCUGGCACAACUGUCCUUCCAACAUAAAUGAGAAAUGAAGAUAUUUCCAGAUAAUGAAAAAUGAGUAUGGCACUAACUCUAGAAAUGUCCCACAGGAAAUUUGAAGGGAGAUCAUGAGGUUGAAAUGAAAGUAUUGUAGAUAA